GAUCCUGUGGCUCAUGUGGAUGAGCAUCACCUCUGGGUGGAGAGGUUGCUGGUUCGAAUCCCAGCCAGGACUC
This is a non-coding RNA of Pangasianodon gigas (Mekong giant catfish), 73 nucleotides long. Lineage: Eukaryota; Metazoa; Chordata; Actinopteri; Siluriformes; Pangasiidae. The record is from the annotation of a GenBank genome assembly.